Molecule: long non-coding RNA, 723 nt
Organism: Ailuropoda melanoleuca (giant panda)
Lineage: Eukaryota; Metazoa; Chordata; Mammalia; Carnivora; Ursidae
Exons: 3
Source: RefSeq, a predicted model, not a curated record
UGAAGUGGAAGUGACAAAAUGUCCCACCCAAAGUUCAAGCAGAAGUGUUUUCCGGGGGUCACAACAACCCGUGUUUGUUUGGUGAGGUUCCACGCUCAUUCUCAGCAUUUGGGUUCGAAGCUGUGAACCAACCUUGAACCUUGGGAACUGGGAGUCGACAAGAUGGGACUAAUAUGUAAAAGAAAAAAGGUUCCGAAGACUUGUUGGAUGUCACUUCUCUUUUCAAAAGGAACAUUUUGAAGAUGGAAGCCGAAGAAUGUGAAGACAACUGAAUCGAAAGCCAUCGUGAGUUUUAAAUGUGUGUAUAGCACAUGACACCGUCAGAUGGAGAAGUAAGAACAUCCAGUCUGAGAGCCCUCUUUCUGAAAGCCUUGUUACACUUCCACUGGUUGACUUAAUUAUAUUACUGACACAAGUUUCCAGGAUGGACCUUCUGUGCGGCAGAUACAGGCUCUCUGGCUCUGGCUCCCAGGUGUCUGCUUCCCGAAGCUGCUAUUCUCUGACCUCUGGCGGCGACAAAAGACAGCCAUCCUUUUGGACCUCCACCUGCUCAGCUAGCGGAUCCAAAUUCUGCUGCUUCCACACCGCGGAGUGAUCUGCCAUGUCCUGAACGGCACGCGAGCUAAUGUCAUUUUGUGUUUUGAGUCUUUGAGAGUUUUCGGUGACUGAUCCUCACUGCAAACAGGUCCCCGAUUAUUUCUUUUCGGCUUGCUCUAAUAUUAC